RNAcentral lists this ribosomal RNA (216 nucleotides) under Glomeromycotina sp. RNAcentral describes it as "partial small subunit ribosomal RNA". The stretch from base 40 to 216 matches the Rfam family "Eukaryotic small subunit ribosomal RNA", at positions 686 to 864 of the family's 1831-position model. The record is from RNAcentral. Lineage: Eukaryota; Fungi; Glomeromycota.
GGGUCAGUAGGUUGGUCGUGCCACCGGUACGUACUGGUCUCAAUGAUUCCUCCUUCCUGAAGAACCGUAAUGCCAUUAAUUUGGUGUUGCGGGGAAACAGGACUGUUACUUUGAAAAAAUUAGAGUGUUUAAAGCAAGCUAACGCUUGAAUACAUUAGCAUGGAAUAAUGAAAUAGGACGAUCGAUCCUAUUUUGUUGGCUUCUAGGAUUGACGUA